Molecule: ribosomal RNA, 447 nt
Filed under: uncultured bacterium
Lineage: Bacteria
Description: SSU rRNA
Rfam family: Bacterial small subunit ribosomal RNA
Source: RNAcentral
AGAGCGAACGCUGGCGGCAGGCCUAACACAUGCAAGUCGAGCGCCCGUAGCAAUACGGGAGCGGCAGACGGGAUAGUAACACGUGGGAACGCGCCCUUCGGUUCGGAAUAACUCAGGGAAACUUGAGCUAAUACCGGAUACGCCCUUACGGGGAAAGAUUUAUUGCCGAAGGAACGGCCCGCGUCCGAUUAGCUAGUUGGUGAGGUAAUGGCUCACCAAGGCGACGAUCGGUAGCUGGUCUGAGAGGAUGACCAGCAUCACUGGGACUGAGACACGGCCCAGACUCCUACGGGAGGCAGCAGUGGGGAAUAUUGGACAAUGGGCGCAAGCCUGAUCCAGCCAUGCCGCGUGGAUGAUGAAGGCCUUAGGGUUGUAAAGUCCUUUUAACGGGGAAGAUAAUGACGGUACCGUAGAAUAAGCCCCGGCUAACUUCGCGCCAGCAGCCGC